CCAAGGAGUCUUGCAAAUGCGCGAGUCAYUGGGUUCUACGAAACUCGCAGGCGCAAUGAAAGUGAAGGGCAGCUCGCUGUCUGAGGUGGGAUCCCGCGUGUCGGGCGCGGGCGCACCACCGGCCCAUCUCGCCGGCAGCGCCCGGGAGGUGGAGCAGGAGCGUAUUUGCAAGGACCCGAAAGAUGGUGAACUAUGCCUGGGCAGGGUGAAGCCAGAGGAAACUCUGGUGGAGGCCCGUAGCGAUUCUGACGUGCAAAUCGAUCGUCAAACCUGGGUAUAGGGGCGAAAGACUAAUCGAACCAUCUAGUAGCUGGUUCCCGCCGAAGUUUCCCUCAGGAUAGCUGGCACCUUUUCGCAGUUUUAUCCGGUAAAGCGAAUGAUUAGAGGCAUCGGGGACGAAACGACCUCGACCUAUUCUCAAACUUUAAAUGGGUAAGAAGUCCGGCCCGCUUGGCUUGGGCC
RNAcentral lists this ribosomal RNA (462 nucleotides) under Golfingia elongata. RNAcentral's name for it is "eukaryotic LSU rRNA". It matches the Rfam family "Eukaryotic large subunit ribosomal RNA", at positions 666 to 1102 of the family's 3401-position model. Lineage: Eukaryota; Metazoa; Annelida; Sipuncula; Golfingiida; Golfingiidae. The record is from RNAcentral.